CCGAGUCUCUUUUUUUGGGAUCCGGGUUUUCAGUUUGGACAUGACGAAGGCAACACUCGGGGGACACAGAGAGGGUGCUCUGACCAUGAUUGGGCCUAAUUCAAUUCAUCCUCAAGGCCAAGUAGUAGCCCAAACCAUGAUCCAUCUUCUUAGAACUUCACAGAAGAAGUUGGGACCUGCAGUCCAAGAAUCCAUUGGUAGUUUCUGAAAUCCAGAAUGAGUAAAAAAUUCGGAGCAGGAAAGCAGCCCACGGGCACUCCUUCACUGGGGUGGUCCUUCGUUGUUGCCAUCGUUUCGCUUCUUGCCGGCGCUUCAGUUGUCCACAGCAUCUACAAACCCAACCUUACUCUGCCUCCAGUCGAAAGUGUUGAUGCUGCUGCCAAGGAGAAAGAGACUGGAAAAAAGUGAGUAUUUCUUACCUUUUUUCCACGCAAUACAGGUGUCUGUAUUUCACGGCAGCGAUGUGAACAAACUUUUGAAUUCUACAAGACAUUUUUAUUCUUUAACGUUUUCUGUAUUUUGCUAAAUAUGCCGUCUGUUUAAUUAAGAACGCUGAUCACUAGGGCGGUCCAAGGAAAUGUGGGGUUUUUUUUAGGUUUGAUUUGCUCCUCUUUACAAUGAUGAUUGGCCUAGUAAAAAUACUUGGGAAUAUAUUGGGGGUGCCAUGUUAUUAUUUUUUGAGA
This is a long non-coding RNA of Populus euphratica (Euphrates poplar), 683 nucleotides long. RefSeq lists it as uncharacterized. The record is from RefSeq and is a predicted model, not a curated record. Lineage: Eukaryota; Viridiplantae; Streptophyta; Magnoliopsida; Malpighiales; Salicaceae. The transcript is spliced from 2 exons.